This 550-nucleotide ribosomal RNA is filed under the name uncultured bacterium. Its description in RNAcentral is "bacterial SSU rRNA". It matches the Rfam family "Bacterial small subunit ribosomal RNA", at positions 355 to 896 of the family's 1533-position model. The record is from RNAcentral.
UAGGGAAUCUUCCGCAAUGGGCGAAAGCCUGACGGAGCAACGCCGCGUGAGUGAUGAAGGUCUUCGGAUCGUAAAACUCUGUUAUUAGGGAAGAACAUAUGUGUAAGUAACUGUGCACAUCUUGACGGUACCUAAUCAGAAAGCCACGGCUAACUACGUGCCAGCAGCCGCGGUAAUACGUAGGUGGCAAGCGUUAUCCGGAAUUAUUGGGCGUAAAGCGCGCGUAGGCGGUUUUUUAAGUCUGAUGUGAAAGCCCACGGCUCAACCGUGGAGGGUCAUUGGAAACUGGAAAACUUGAGUGCAGAAGAAGAAAGUGGAAUUCCAUGUGUAGCGGUGAAAUGCGCAGAGAUAUGGAGGAACACCAGUGGCGAAGGCGACUUUCUGGUCUGUAACUGACGCUGAUGUGCGAAAGCGUGGGGAUCAAACAGGAUUAGAUACCCUGGUAGUCCACGCCGUAAACGAUGAGUGCUAAGUGUUAGGGGGUUUCCGCCCCUUAGUGCUGCAGCUAACGCAUUAAGCACUCCGCCUGGGGAGUACGACCGCAAGGUUG